UACGGGGGGGGCAAGCGUUGUUCGGAAUUACUGGGCGUAAAGGGCUCGUAGGCGGCCAACUAAGUCGGACGUGAAAUCCCCAGGCUUAACUUGGGAACUGCGUCCGAUACUGGAUGGCUUGAAUCCGGGAGAGGGAUGCGGAAUUCCAGGUGUAGCGGUGAAAUGCGUAGAUAUCUGGAGGAACACCGGUGGCGAAGGCGGCAUCCUGGACCGGUAUUGACGCUGAGUGAGCGAAAGCGUGGGGAGCAAACAGG
This 254-nucleotide ribosomal RNA is filed under the name uncultured bacterium. RNAcentral describes it as "partial 16S ribosomal RNA". It matches the Rfam family "Bacterial small subunit ribosomal RNA", at positions 524 to 776 of the family's 1533-position model. The record is from RNAcentral.